Molecule: long non-coding RNA, 699 nt
Organism: Nematostella vectensis (starlet sea anemone)
Lineage: Eukaryota; Metazoa; Cnidaria; Anthozoa; Actiniaria; Edwardsiidae
Exons: 3
Source: RefSeq, a predicted model, not a curated record
UUUUGACGAUGAUUUGCAUUUUGAAUAUGACAUUUCUUUUUCAUUUAUUGUUGUGCUUUUAUAAUGCUCGUUUGUUCGCUUUUUUCCCAAAACCAAUCGCUCAGACUAAAACACCGUACCAGCUUUAGUAUGACGUCAAGACGACAUAUCAAUGUCAUCUAUCCUUGUUUUGAUUGGCUAAAAUACCAUCUACUUGAAUUCCGAUUGGUUAAUAAUUUUGGCACUUGAAUGACUUUUAUUCAACUGACAAUCGCCAUGAAGAUGUUAAAUUCGUAAAUACUUACUUUCAAGUUCUAUAAAUUCAGGCGUAUAUUCCUCACGAUUGGACCAGCCUUCCGGCACACACCGCUAGUGCCAGUUCAUUACUUUCAAGACCUUAGUUUCGGAAUAGAGCUGUAUAAAUUAUUAUGAUGUUAAACCAACCAAGGACUACCUGAGGGUCAUGCUUGAUGCUAAAGGCUGGAAGACAUAAGAAUAGGCAAAUGUAGCUGGCUUUCUUACUUUGAUACAGCAGUAUAAGUGUAAUAGGGUUUUUAGAGCAAGAUACUUUGUGUCAAUGAUACUGUAAAUCUGUAAAACAUUUUUUAUCAACCUGAAGACAAUAAGGAAAGGGGAAAUGAUAGGUGCUCAAUCAAGUUGUUGCAAUACUGUUAAAGUUUUUUUAUCAAAAAUAUAGUCCCAGUUUCUUUUUUCUCUCUC